Molecule: long non-coding RNA, 554 nt
Organism: Canis lupus familiaris (dog)
Lineage: Eukaryota; Metazoa; Chordata; Mammalia; Carnivora; Canidae
Exons: 5
Source: RefSeq, a predicted model, not a curated record
CAUCUUCAGAAACUCAACUGCCCAGGCUUGUUUGGGGUAGUAGCCACUCCCUGCUUCAUUGCCUCCUCUUUUCCAAACCUCUCAUGCAGUUUCCUUUCUGUUCUCUGGAUGGAGGGCCAGUUAGAACGCUUGGAAGGGGAAGUUAGCUCAGAGAGUAUGGCACUCCUUGGAGGCAUAACAGAUAAAUGCCUGACACUUUAUCUACACAGGAAAGCACAUCUCACAGAUGGUUAAUUUCACUGAUUGAAAGGAAGAGCCAGUAAAACCCUCAUGUGGCCAUUCAUGGUUCGCUGAAGACGGUGGUAGGUAGUAUGGAUUAGCAAGAGGUGCUGAGUCUUAUCUGGAUUUAUCAGUCAUAGAAGAGGAUGCCAAGUCCUUUGAGUUUUAAGCUAUUGCUAGUAGUAAUCUGUGUUCAAGACCUAUGGUGUUGCGCCCAAGAUUGCGAAUCCGAGAAAUUACCAAGGAGCUGACACCGAUGCAAGCACACGAGAGGGUUUAUUUGCAAGCUCGAGCUUGGGUCCAAGUAUACCCGACACAGCGGAGCAGGGACUUGG